This 981-nucleotide ribosomal RNA is filed under the name Triticum aestivum (bread wheat). Its description in RNAcentral is "partial small subunit ribosomal RNA". Lineage: Eukaryota; Viridiplantae; Streptophyta; Magnoliopsida; Poales; Poaceae. The record is from RNAcentral.
CCACCUCCCACCCCCGAUCCCCACUCCCACAUCCCGCAUCCCACAACCGCCACGGCCCUCGCCGCCGGCGCGCAUCCCACCACCACCAUCUCCCACGGGCGUGCCAAGGUCCCUGCCGCAGGCGUGCGCGCCACCGCCACCACCUCCUACAGGAGCCAUGGUCCCUACCGCCGGUGCGCGCGCCACCGGUACCACCUCCCGCAGGCGCCAUGGUCCCUGCCGUCGGCGCCACGCCAUCGCCACCACCUCCCACAGCUGCCGCGGCCCCCAUCACUGGUGCGCCCCAUGCCGUCGGCGCCACGCCAUCGCCACCACCUCCCACAGCUGCCGCGGCCCCCAUCGCUGGUGCGCCCCCCGCCAUCUCCACCUCCCACAACCUCCAUGGCCCCGUCACCGGGGCGCGCCCUGCCACAACCACCGCCGUUGGACGCCGUCGCCAUGCCCCCCGCACGCCAGCGCCUCCGAGACCUCGUCCGACAUGACCCUUGCAUCCCUGAACUACCAAGCGCCGCCCAGCGCCCGGCUUCUUCCCCUGACCACCGCCGGCCUCCUGCCCCGGGAAAACCCCUUCUCUUCCUUCCGGGCGCAACGGCGAUCUCCUUUUCAGUUCAAAAUGAGCUCUAGCCGCUGUCCAAGUCGAUUCCCAUUCGUGGGACAAGUCCGACUACCUGUGGUACACGAUCUAGAGAUUGACCGGCGCGAGCAAUUCCUCAAGUCCGGCCAGUGGCUGCAGCUCACCAUCAACUCCGUCGGGCACUCGUUGUAGGUGUUCGUCAACGGCCAAUUCUUCGGUGCGGAACCUCCCUAGCGCAACGGCAGCCUCCUCCAUCAAAGUUGAGCACUGGGCGUCGUCCGAGUAGAGCUCCAGUUUCUGUACCAUGAAGAGGGGGAAUACCGACAGCUGGAAUUCUGGCUGGAAAAGGAGCAAACAUUGGAAACCUAUUCUGCACUGCUUCAAAAAUCCUAAAACUCCACGAAACG